Molecule: transfer RNA, 73 nt
Filed under: Trichonephila inaurata madagascariensis
Lineage: Eukaryota; Metazoa; Arthropoda; Arachnida; Araneae; Nephilidae
Rfam family: tRNA
About the family: Transfer RNA (tRNA) molecules are approximately 80 nucleotides in length. Their secondary structure includes four short double-helical elements and three loops (D, anti-codon, and T loops). Further hydrogen bonds mediate the characteristic L-shaped molecular structure. tRNAs have two regions of fundamental functional importance: the anti-codon, which is responsible for specific mRNA codon recognition, and the 3' end, to which the tRNAs corresponding amino acid is attached (by aminoacyl-tRNA synthetases). tRNAs cope with the degeneracy of the genetic code in two manners: having more than one tRNA (with a specific anti-codon) for a particular amino acid; and 'wobble' base-pairing, i.e. permitting non-standard base-pairing at the 3rd anti-codon position.
Source: Rfam by way of RNAcentral
GUCCCUGUAGCACAAUGGAUAGCGUGUUGGACUUCUAAUCCAAAGGUCGUGGAUUUGAAUCCCACUUGGGAUG